This 252-nucleotide ribosomal RNA is filed under the name uncultured bacterium. RNAcentral's name for it is "partial 16S ribosomal RNA". It matches the Rfam family "Bacterial small subunit ribosomal RNA", at positions 524 to 776 of the family's 1533-position model. The record is from RNAcentral.
UACGUAGGGGGCUAGCGUUGUCCGGAAUCAUUGGGCGUAAAGAGCGUGUAGGCGGUCCGGUAAGUCCGUUGUGAAAGUCAAGGGCUCAACCCUUGAAUGCCGCGGAUACUGUCGGGCUAGAGUCCGGAAGAGGCGAGUGGAAUUCCCGGUGUAGCGGUGAAAUGCGUAGAGAUCGGGAGGAACAUCUGUGGCGAAGGCGGCCAUCUGGACCAGCACUGACACUGAGGCACGAAAGCGUGGGGAGCAAACAGG